Molecule: ribosomal RNA, 468 nt
Filed under: uncultured bacterium
Lineage: Bacteria
Description: partial 16S ribosomal RNA
Rfam family: Bacterial small subunit ribosomal RNA
Source: RNAcentral
GACGAACGCUGGCGGCGUGCUUAAUACAUGCAAGUCGAACGGAAAGGCCCUGCUUUUGUGGGGUGCUCGAGUGGCGAACGGGUGAGUAACACGUGAGUAACCUGCCCUUGAUUUUGGGAUAACUUUAGGAAAAUGGGGCUAAUAUCGGAUAGGACCUUCUGCUGCAUGGUGGGGGUUGGAAAGAUUGGGCGGUUGGGGAUGGGCACGCGGCUUAUCAGCUUGUUGGGGGGGAGGUGGCUUACCAAGGCAUUGACGGGUCGCUGGACUGAGAGAGUGACCGGCCACAUUGGGACUGAGAUACGGCCGAGACUCCUACGGGAGGCAGCAGUGGGGAAUAUUGCACAAUGGGCGGAAGCCUGAUGCAGCAACGCCGCGUGCGGGAUGACGGCCUUCGGAGUGUAGACCGCUUUCGCCUGUGACGAAGCGUGAGUGACGGUAAUGGGUAAAGAAGCACCGGCUAACUACGUG